AGUGAACGCUGGCGGUAGGCCUAACACAUGCAAGUCGAACGGCAGCACAGUAAGAGCUUGCUCUUACGGGUGGCGAGUGGCGGACGGGUGAGGAAUACAUCGGAAUCUACUUUUUCGUGGGGGAUAACGUAGGGAAACUUACGCUAAUACCGCAUACGACCUACGGGUGAAAGCAGGGGAUCUUCGGACCUUGCGCGAUUGAAUGAGCCGAUGUCGGAUUAGCUAGUUGGCGGGGUAAAGGCCCACCAAGGCGACGAUCCGUAGCUGGUCUGAGAGGAUGAUCAGCCAAACUGGAACUGAGACACGGUCCAGACUCAGACGGGAGGCAGCAGUGGGGAAUAUGGGACAAUGGGCGCAAGCCUGAUCCAGCCAUACCGCGUGGGUGAAGAAGGCCUUCGGGUUGUAAAGCCCUUUUGUUGGGAAAGAAAAGCAGCAGGUUAAGACCCCGCUGUUCUGACGGUACCCAAAGAAUAAGCACCGGCUAACUUCGU
This 491-nucleotide ribosomal RNA is filed under the name uncultured bacterium. RNAcentral describes it as "partial 16S ribosomal RNA". It matches the Rfam family "Bacterial small subunit ribosomal RNA", at positions 29 to 506 of the family's 1533-position model. The record is from RNAcentral.